This 485-nucleotide long non-coding RNA is filed under the name Phoenix dactylifera (date palm). Its description in RNAcentral is "long non-coding RNA (PDAC_LNC011698)". Lineage: Eukaryota; Viridiplantae; Streptophyta; Magnoliopsida; Arecales; Arecaceae. The record is from RNAcentral.
AAUGGUGAAGAGAGGACAAAUCUCCUGGCCAACCUUUCCCUUGGCCGGUGAUAUCUUCAUCACACCCUUUUUGUUUUUUCUUUUUUUAGAUACAAAGGUUGUUCACCCUACUCUAGUAUACGUGUAGCUAGCAGAAUCAAGAGCAACAAUCUGACACAAUAGUGAAGGAGGGAUCUUCUGGUGUGUCCAGAGGACCUAUCCGGAGUGUUGUGCAGCAUAAUCCCCCUCGAGGAUGAUGCGCUCCGCUUUCAGCCUAUGUCUUGCAUAGAAGAUGCUUUCCCAUACUGCCCUGAGUUCCACCCCUAUAGCUGUCAACCCAUCGGUACAUGCUUCGUGUCAUGCCCCUGCCUGCGUGGGGCACGUGAGGCACCCAAUGCUCACGUGGGGGCCACAUGAGAGGGGAAUACGGAACUUUCCUGCCAGAUAUUGUCCGGUUCCGGAGCUUCACGCAAGCGUCCUUCACCCCUCCUCGGUUUUGUUUUCCA